RNAcentral lists this ribosomal RNA (467 nucleotides) under Bacillus sp. (in: firmicutes). Its description in RNAcentral is "bacterial SSU rRNA". It matches the Rfam family "Bacterial small subunit ribosomal RNA", at positions 48 to 496 of the family's 1533-position model. The record is from RNAcentral. Lineage: Bacteria; Bacillati; Bacillota; Bacilli; Caryophanales; Bacillaceae.
GCUAUUCAUGCAAGUCGAGCGGACAGAUGGGAGCUUGCUCGUUGAUGUUAGCGUAGGACGGGUGAGUAACACGUGGGUAACCUGCCUGUAAGACUCGGAUAACUCCGGGAAACCGCUGCUAAUACCGGAUGCUUGAUUGAACCGCAUGGUACAAUUAUAAAAGGUGGCGUUUAGCUACCACUAGUAGAUGGACCCGCGGCGCAUUAGCUCUUUGGUGAUGUAACGUCUCACCAAGGCAACGAUGCGUAGCCGACCUGAGAGGGUGAUCGGCCACACUGGGACUGAGACACGGCCCAGACUCCUACGGGAGGCAGCAGUAGGGAAUCUUCCGCAAUGGACGAAAGUCUGACGGAGCAACGCCGCGUGAGUGAUGAAGGUUUUCGGAUCGUAAAACUCUGUUGUUAGGGAAGAACAAGUACCGUUCGAAUAGGGCGGUACCUUGACGGUACCUAACCAGAAAGCUACGA